This 460-nucleotide ribosomal RNA is filed under the name uncultured bacterium. RNAcentral's name for it is "partial 16S ribosomal RNA". It matches the Rfam family "Bacterial small subunit ribosomal RNA", at positions 28 to 507 of the family's 1533-position model. The record is from RNAcentral.
GACGAACGCUGGCGGCGUGCUUAACACAUGCAAGUCGAGCGGUAAGGCCUCUUCGGGGGUGCACGAGCGGCGGACGGGCGGGUAACACGUGGGUGACUUGCCUUCCGCUCAGGGAUAAGUCUGGGCAACUGGCUCUAAUACAGGAUAGGUCCUUUCUCCGGCUGGGGUUUGGGGGUAGGUAUGUUUGGCCGGUGAGGGGUGGGCGCCCUAUCAGCUUGUUGGUGGGGUGGUGGCCUACUAAGGCGACGACGGGUGGCCGGCCUGGGAGGGCGACCGGCCACGCUGGGACUGAGACACGGCACAGACUCCGGCGGGAGGCAGGAGGGGGGAAUAUUGAGCGAUGGGCGGAAGCCUGAGGAAGCGAGGCCGCGUGGGGAAGGACGGCCGUCGGGUAGUAGACCUCUUUCGACCCCGACGGAUUUGGACGGUAGGGGUAGAAGAAGCACCGGCCAACUACGUG